Molecule: long non-coding RNA, 412 nt
Filed under: Fukomys damarensis (Damara mole-rat)
Lineage: Eukaryota; Metazoa; Chordata; Mammalia; Rodentia; Bathyergidae
Description: lncRNA (ENSFDAG00000028307.1)
Source: RNAcentral
CUAAGAUGAAAACUGAUUAAAAGGAGCAAGGAUGGAGUGGAAUGGAUGAAAAGGUUGUUUUGCACAGAAGUUGCCCAAUGAUGAAGUUGGAAAGCAUGCUAAAUCUGGAAGGUCAGCCAGCUGAAUCUCCUGAGUUCAGUCAGGAGGAUGUGCCCCUUCUGAGUGUCCUCUGUCACUGAGCUCAUUGACACCAAACCCCACUGUGCCUGGAUGAUGACAGGAUGUGAAAAUGCAAGGAAAGAAGGCAGAAGGAAUUCCUCUAAGAUGCACAGAUAUGCCCCUUCAAAUAUGUGUUUCCUUGGCAAUCUGGAAUGCAGAACCCAGGAAUGUGGUGCAGUUCUUUGAAUAGAGGAUUUAGGUUGUCAGCAGCUAUGAAUGUCAGUGACAAAAACAGCAACUGGCUCGGGUCUAC